AAAUUCUUGAUCUAAUAACCUCUUUUCUCUGUCCCUUCGGUGAUACCAUCAUAUCUCACUUUUCAGAUGAAGUCGGAGCAGUGAUUCUGAGCUAAGACCCCGGUUCCUGUUCCUUAUUUUUCAAGUCUAUAAGACCGAGCCAUGGAACAUAGCCCAUCUACAAACACUGCAGUGAUGUUGCUGCCAUGGAUAUUUAUGGAAAAUAGAUAUUCGAUGACAAAAGGACACCUAAGCAGCUGCAGUGUGACGAGCUUUAACGGGGCAGCUGCGAACAGGGUGGAGGGCAGGAAUCCCUCCGGGGACUGGAGAAGAGCGACUUCCAGCAGAAGGCAGCAUGAUUGGGCACUGCUGGGACCUGCCUGGCACAGAGCAAUCAGAGCUGGGUGGUUCUUUGAGUGCAAGAGAAGCCAGCAAACAUGAAUCUAAGAGAUAGAAAUGUCAAAAGUUACAAGCGGUGCAAAUAGUCGCUCUAGUUGUGAGCCAAAGGAAAUGUCUUCACUUGAGUAAAUGUAGAAGGAACUUCUGGCAACGGAUACUGAGGCAUAGAUGAAAACAAGUAAAUUAGAACAAACUAGAACAGCAUCGGCAACAGAAAGGCACCUUCAGGUGCACCACUGCUGGACAGAAAGGACCACACACUUAAAUUGGUGUAAUGAGGUUCACUCAAUCUUGCCACCCAAAAUUUACCAUGGAGUUGGGAAGGCAAGACAUACAUUCAUGCUCCUUGGAGGCGGCAAUAUUUGCAAGAAGAUGGCCCUUUGCCUAUUUAUCAAUUUCUACUUUCAGAUAAGUGCCACAUCACGACAGAAUUCUCAUAAAAGGAUGUUCCAUGCAACCAGAAAGAGCCAUGGAUAG
RNAcentral lists this long non-coding RNA (855 nucleotides) under Mustela putorius furo (domestic ferret). Its description in RNAcentral is "lncRNA (ENSMPUG00000029901.1)". The record is from RNAcentral. Lineage: Eukaryota; Metazoa; Chordata; Mammalia; Carnivora; Mustelidae.